GAAAAACGUAUAGACUAUAAAUAUGAUAGAAAUUUUUCACUCGAUAUCACAACAAUUAGACGUUGCUGCAGACUGUGCACGUAUUCGAUUAGCUCAGACUGAGAAUAAUCGAAAAUGUCAAGAAAAAUUUUAUUGUUAGCUAUCUUCAUAUUUGUUGGCCUCUAUGCCAGUGCAGUUGAAGGAUGUCAAGGCAAAUGGUGUCAUCCACAGCAAGGCUACGACUGCUGCAGUAACUAUGAAUGUAAUAUGGGAUACUGGUUUCAAGGGAAUUGCGUAAAAUACUCGCACGUCAAUAUGGGUCCUGGGAAAUAGAACAAGAAAGUAAAUAAAUAAAAUUUGACAAUAUGUCACAUUACCAAAAAAUAAAAAAAAAAUUGUAUCAAUUAUGUGAACAAAUAUGAUUGCAUAAUA
Molecule: long non-coding RNA, 411 nt
Organism: Microplitis demolitor
Lineage: Eukaryota; Metazoa; Arthropoda; Insecta; Hymenoptera; Braconidae
Exons: 3
Source: RefSeq, a predicted model, not a curated record